AUGGGGAUCUCACUGCUCCACACGCAGUGGCAGCUGAUCGCACAGCUGCCCCAGCAAUGGCAGCUCCUCGUCCUUCUAGCCACCCUCCUCCUCCCCGCCGUCUCCUACCUGCUGCUGAUAACGAGGGGCGACGCCGAGGGGGGACGGCUGAGGCUGCCGCCCGGCCCUGCCCGGGUGCCGGUGCUCGGCAACCUGCACCAGCUCGGCCGGCUACCGCACCGCAGCCUGCGCGACCUGGCCCGGCGGCACGGCCCCGUCAUGCUGCUUCGCUUCGGCACGGUGCCGACGCUGGUGGUCUCGUCUGCCGCUGCAGCGCGCGACGUGAUGAAGACGCACGACGCCGACUGCUGCAGCCGGUUCGUGUCUCCGGGCCCUGCGCGGCUCUCCUACGGUGACAAAAGCAUCGCCUCCUCGCCCUACGGCGCCUACUGGCAGGACAUGCGCAGGCUCUUCGCCGCCGAGCUCUUCGGCCCGCGGGGCGUUCGCGCCGUAUGGGCCGCGCGGCGGGAUCAGGUUGACAGGCUCAUGGCCGUCCUGGGCACGGCGGCAGCGACGGCGGCUCCGUUGGCGAUGGACGAGCACGUGUUCCGCGUCGCCGACGGCAUCAUCGGCACCGUGGCGUACGGGCGCAUCUACGCCUCGGAGGCGUUCGCUCGCAAGUACGAGCAGUUCCAGCACGUGCUCGAGGAGGCCAUGGACAUGUCGGCCAGCUUUUCGGCCGAAGACUUCUUCCCCAACGCCGCCGGCCGCCUCGUCGACCGGCUCACCGGCAUCAUCGCGCGGCGAGAGAGAAUCUUUAGAGACCUGGACGCCUUCUUCGAGGUGGUGCUGGAGCAGCAUCUUGACCCCGCGCGCCCCAAGCCAGAGAGCGGUGACGGCGACCUCGUAGACGCCUUCGUCAGAGCUUGGGAGGAGCACGGCUUCACGAGGGACCACACGAAGGCGAUGCUCCUGGACGCGUUCCUCGGCGGCGUCGAGGGCAGCUCUAUCACGAUCCUGUGGGCGAUGUCGGAGCUGGUUCGGAACCCGUCGGCGCUGAAGAAGGCACAAGGUGAGAUCAGGGCCGCGGUGACCGCCCGCGAUGUCUCGCCGCCGGGGCUGCCCGUCCAGCCGGACGAUCUGCCCAAACUAACCUACCUGAAGAUGGUCGUCAAAGAGACCAUCCGGCUGCACCCACCGGCGCCUCUGCUGCUGCCGCGGGAGACGAUGCGUCGCGUGGAGAUCAGCGGCUACGACGUGCCGGCGAGGACGCGCGUGCUGGUGAACGUGUGGGCCAUCGGAAGGGACCCGACAAGCUGGGGGCAAGACGCCGACGAGUUCAAGCCGGAGAGAUUCGAGACGGACGGGAGGCACGGCAAGGUGGACUUGCGCGGCGCGCACUUCGAACUGCUGCCGUUCGGCGCGGGCCGGCGGAUCUGCCCCGGGCUGGCUAUGGCGGUGGCGACUGUGGAGUUCACGCUGGCCAACAUGCUAUGCAGCUUCGACUGGAUGCUGCCGGAGGGGACGGCGGCGGAGGACAUGAGCAUGGAGGAGGCCGGCAAGCUAACCUUCCACCGCAAGACGUCGCUGGUGCUCGUGCCCACGCCUUACCGCCGCAAUUAG
RNAcentral lists this ribosomal RNA (1602 nucleotides) under Triticum aestivum (bread wheat). Its description in RNAcentral is "partial small subunit ribosomal RNA". The record is from RNAcentral. Lineage: Eukaryota; Viridiplantae; Streptophyta; Magnoliopsida; Poales; Poaceae.